GUAAAAGUCGUAACAAGGUUUCCGUAGGUGAACCUGCGGAAGGAUCAUUACAGAGUUCAUGCCCGAAAGGGUAGACCUCCCACCCUUGUGUAUUAUUACUUUGUUGCUUUGGCGAGCUGCCUUCGGGCCUUGUAUGCUCGCCAGAGAAAACCAAAACUCUUUUUAUUAAUGUCGUCUGAGUACUAUAUAAUAGUUAAAACUUUCAACAACGGAUCUCUUGGUUCUGGCAUCGAUGAAGAACGCAGCGAAAUGCGAUAAGUAAUGUGAAUUGCAGAAUUCAGUGAAUCAUCGAAUCUUUGAACGCACAUUGCGCCCCUUGGUAUUCCGGGGGGCAUGCCUGUUCGAGCGUCAUUUCAACCCUCAAGCUUAGCUUGGUAUUGAGUCUAUGUCAGUAAUGGCAGGCUCUAAAAUCAGUGGCGGCGCCGCUGGGUCCUGAACGUAGUAAUAUCUCUCGUUACAGGUUCUCGGUGUGCUUCUGCCAAAACCCAAAUUUUUCUAUGGUUGACCUCGGAUCAGGUAGGGAUACCCGCUGAACUUAAGCAUAUCAAUAAGCGGAGGAAAAGAAACCAACAGGGAUUACCUCAGUAACGGCGAGUGAAGC
This 601-nucleotide ribosomal RNA is filed under the name Botrytis cinerea. RNAcentral's name for it is "eukaryotic LSU rRNA". The stretch from base 198 to 351 matches the Rfam family "5.8S ribosomal RNA". Lineage: Eukaryota; Fungi; Ascomycota; Leotiomycetes; Helotiales; Sclerotiniaceae. The record is from RNAcentral.